Non-coding RNA from Acidobacteriales bacterium 13_1_40CM_3_55_5, 48 nucleotides. The record is from Rfam. NCBI's taxonomy places the organism in Bacteria, Pseudomonadati, Acidobacteriota, Terriglobia, Terriglobales.
CCCACGGCUGACGCCGUGGGCUGCAUUCUUGUGCGCCGCUUCGCGGCU